RNAcentral lists this transfer RNA (71 nucleotides) under Verrucomicrobiota bacterium. RNAcentral describes it as "Verrucomicrobia bacterium (freshwater metagenome) tRNA-Gln". It matches the Rfam family "tRNA". Rfam says of the family: Transfer RNA (tRNA) molecules are approximately 80 nucleotides in length. The record is from RNAcentral. Lineage: Bacteria; Pseudomonadati; Verrucomicrobiota.
UCGGGGAUCGUCUAACGGCAGGACGGAGGUUUUUGGUGCCUCCUAUGGGGGUUCGAAUCCCUCUCCCUGAA